This 497-nucleotide ribosomal RNA is filed under the name uncultured bacterium. RNAcentral's name for it is "partial 16S ribosomal RNA". It matches the Rfam family "Bacterial small subunit ribosomal RNA", at positions 28 to 507 of the family's 1533-position model. The record is from RNAcentral.
GAUGAACGCUGGCGGCGUGCCUAAUACAUGCAAGUCGAGCGAACAGACGAGGAGCUUGCUCCUCUGACGUUAGCGGCGGACGGGUGAGUAACACGUGGAUAACCUACCUAUAAGACUGGGAUAAUUUCGGGAAACCGGAUCUAAUACUGGAUAAUAUAUUGAACCGCAUGGUUCAAUAGUGAAAGACGGUUUUGCUGUCACUUAUAGAUGGAUCCGCGCCGCAUUAGCUAGUUGGUAAGGUAACGGCUUACCAAGGCAACGAUGCGUAGCCGACCUGAGAGGGUGAUCGGCCACACUGGAAGUGAGACAGGGUCCAGAGUCCUACGGGAGGCAGCAGUAGGGAAUCGUCCGCAAUGGGCGAAAACUUGACGGAGCAAGGCCGAGUGAGUGAUGAAGGUCUUCGGAUCGUAAAACUCUGUUAUUAGGGAAGAACAAAUGUGUAAGUAACUAUGCACGUAUUGACGGUACCUAAUCAAAAAGCCACGGCUAACUACGUG